UAGAAAUAAGAGUACUUAAGGAAGGUAAAUCCAAAAUACCAAGCAUUAUUUUAGAGGGCUAUAUAACAAGGUAAUACCUGCAUUCUAUUUCAUGUUAAAGUGACUCAUGUGAGUGUACCACUCCGACGUUAACACUACAGAGGAAAGAUGCCUAAAUACAAAGGGGUCAUAACGACUGAAGACCGUCUCCUUGCCUCCACUUGGGAUCAUGUCCACAUUAAACUAGUGGGGACAGAGGGGGAGAGCCGACGCAAAGCUCUUUCUACUGGACAUUUUUUGUUCAAGGCUUGAUCUGUUUUAAAAUUUGAGCUGGACUGCAAAAAGUCCAUUGGCAAACUGGUACUGAUUGAGCUGAACAAAAAUCCCCGUCUUCUGCUGCCACAAGACCCCUGGUUCCCUGCCAAGGUGGAACUCAAGUCCCCUGAAGGAGAGACCUUCCUCUUCCCCAUCCAUCGCUGGAUCACCAACAAAGAAGUUCAACAGUUCAGAGAGGCCACAGCUUGUUUAGUGUUUGAUGACAUCCAGCCUAAUGCGAGCCAAAGCAGAAAGAAAGAAUUGAAACUGAGAAAGGAACAGUAUUGCUGGAGCAUUUAUGCAGAGGGGAUUCCUCACUGUAUGAAGGUUCACUGUGUUCUGUCCCUACCUGAUGAGGUCCGGUUCUCCUUCACUAAAGAAGUACAGUUUGGACUCAACGCUUUACAAGGCUCGCCUCCGGCUACCAAACGAGCGAGUCAGAUUCGGCGCACCAUCCUACGUAGGAAGGGGGAACAUUUGAAUAUUAGCUCCCACUUCCCCUCUGCCCUCCAAUCAGAGCAUCGCUAAGAUUUUGUGGACCAGCGGACGAGC
This is a long non-coding RNA of Gadus chalcogrammus (walleye pollock), 846 nucleotides long. RefSeq lists it as uncharacterized. The transcript is spliced from 5 exons. Lineage: Eukaryota; Metazoa; Chordata; Actinopteri; Gadiformes; Gadidae. The record is from RefSeq and is a predicted model, not a curated record.